Molecule: unclassified non-coding RNA, 240 nt
Filed under: soil metagenome
Description: partial contains 5.8S ribosomal RNA, internal transcribed spacer 2, and large subunit ribosomal RNA
Source: RNAcentral
AACCUAGCACACCUGCGGUGUGUACCUGCGGAGGGAUCAUUAACGAGUUUUUGAAACGGGUUGUUGCUGGCUUCAAAACAGGAGCAUGUGCACGCCUGACUCAAUCCACUCUCAAACCCCUGUGCACUUAUUGUAGGCUUGGUGAUUGACGAGCUCGCAAGAGUUCUGAUAGAGCUUAGUCUAUGCUUUUACAAACGCUUCAGUUUAAGAAUGUUACUCGCGUAUAACGCAAUAAAUACA